Molecule: long non-coding RNA, 862 nt
Organism: Humulus lupulus (European hop)
Lineage: Eukaryota; Viridiplantae; Streptophyta; Magnoliopsida; Rosales; Cannabaceae
Exons: 3
Source: RefSeq, a predicted model, not a curated record
GUCACCAUUGGAGAUGCUCUUACACAAUGCAUUCUCUCUCCCUUUCAUUUUAUUUCAAAUUUAUUCAGAAAAAUCAGAGCAUCUCUCACCACUUGCUCUCUCCAUUUUGUGCUCCUCUCUCUCUCUCCCUCUCUAGAAAGAGAGCUUUCAUUGAAGCUCUCAAGCCAAAACUCUACCAUUUCUAGGCAAGUGCUUGCAUAUUCGGAUUUUCUUUUCUUUCUCAUCUAUGCUAGGCCAAGCCUUGGCUCUUGGUCCCUUCCUCCCUCUGAGUUUAUACUCACUUAAUUACCUCUAUUUCAAGCUCUUGAGGAUGAGGAAAUUCAUGCAAGCUUAGAGUGGUGCAUGCAAAAUGCUUGAAGAUCAAAGAGAAAUUAACGACAAACAGGGGAAUGGGUUGACCAACAGAAUAAGGAGACUUGGAAUAUUAAAAGACUUUGAGCCGAGGACACUUGGGCAUCCUUUAUUUUGUUUUAUUAAGGUUCAAUUUUUCCAGAACUCUCAACCAGUUUGGUUAAUUGGUAUGUUUUCCUUGUUCCAAUGAUUACGAUCAUUGGUUUAUUUCUUCUCUGGCUCGUUAGUUAUUUACAUGCUUGUAAAGUUGAUUUACUAAGUGUUAUCACUUACCUAGUUGUUUUAUGUUGUGAGUAAGUGGAAAGACAGGACAGAGCAAUGAGAGUUAGAGUCUGCUUUACCAAAGUAUACUUAUGGCCUGAACGUGGGAAGUAAGAGACUUUUGAAUUGUUUUGUUAAAUCUUUACGAAUUAAUGGCUUACUCUGAACUUUUAUUUUGUUAUGCUGGUUUUAAUAUUUUAAGUAUACACACACUUCUAUAAGUUAUAUAUAUACAUAUAUGGAUUUCUAA